AGAGACGCUAGGCCGGCACUGCCUAGGUGGGCCGGGCGGUGCGAGGGUCGCCUUUCAGCCUUUACCUCUACCCACUGAAAUGGAGUAGGUCGGUGAGCGCCGAUCUGCUGGAGAAUCUCAUUAUCCCAUCGGCGCUCUGCCUGCUCCUGGCCUCCAAGCCUCUGAAGCCCCUCGGGUUUCAGCUGCCGGCUACCCUCGAGCCCGUGGUGCCCACGAGAGAGGCGACUUUACGUCAGCGGCCCUGGGCUGAGAUUUGAGAACGCGACCAAGUGGAGAAUGUUGGAGCCAGAUUUUAAAAUCCUUGUCUUCCUUCUGCGUGCUACUUGAUCUAAAUGAGAUACGGCAAAGUCACAGAACCUGUUUUUAUGUUUUUGCCUGAUUCAUACGGGCUUCUCCGGUGAAGAUGGGCCUGAAGUAACGCUUGGGUUGCUUCUGACGUUAUAACUCAUCCUGUAGCUGCAGCAACCGUGGUCCUUGCAACCUCAUAAAAAUGUUGCCAGCAUUGUUUCGAUAGUGCUGCUUAAUUCUUGGAAGGUUCUUCGGACUUCACACAUUCCAGCAGUAGCUCUCUCAGCUCCUGUCCUGCACAGCUUUGAAGUGCUGAACCACAAAGCAGCAGCAGCUUCAGCCAUCCCCUGGGCCAGACAGGCAUUUCCUCCUGUGUCUUUUCAUAGAUGAAGAAAAUCUUCCCCUCAUUCCUGGUGGUCAGAGCUGGAUAAAAUAUCCACCCUUCAACCAAUAUCAGACAAAUGACACAGAUCAGAAUAAACAGAACAUGCUGACGAAUUGGAUGUGAAGCAUGAGAAGAAAUGGAGAGGACCAAGAUGACCUGGAUUUCUGGCUUAUGCAACUGCAUAGAAU
This 861-nucleotide long non-coding RNA is filed under the name Homo sapiens (human). Its description in RNAcentral is "non-protein coding lnc-BMP6-106:70". The record is from RNAcentral. Lineage: Eukaryota; Metazoa; Chordata; Mammalia; Primates; Hominidae.